CAAGCUUGUGUCUAUAGGUAU
This 21-nucleotide non-coding RNA is filed under the name Ornithorhynchus anatinus (platypus). Its record names the gene oan-miR-100-3p. Lineage: Eukaryota; Metazoa; Chordata; Mammalia; Monotremata; Ornithorhynchidae. The record is from miRBase by way of RNAcentral. RNAcentral also lists the same sequence under 2 other names.